Hermetia illucens (black soldier fly) is the source of this 275-nucleotide long non-coding RNA. RefSeq lists it as uncharacterized. The record is from RefSeq and is a predicted model, not a curated record. NCBI's taxonomy places the organism in Eukaryota, Metazoa, Arthropoda, Insecta, Diptera, Stratiomyidae. The transcript is spliced from 3 exons.
UUUACCUUUGAUUUAUUAUUGAUGGCUCGUCGUUUUCGAGAAUGAUUUGCGAUAGGAACAAUAUUGAAAAAUAUUUGUGAACUAUUGUACUGUGUACUGUGUGUACUGUGCGGGAGUGAAUGGUGUGGACGAAUACAAAACCAAUGAAGAGGAGCGCAAAUAUGAUUUUCGAGAUUUCUAUAAAUGGUUACCAGCUUCUUAAAAUCCGCCAGUCUUGGUAUGCAGGUCACUUCUUCAAAUUGACAUAAAAGUCAUACUAGCCGAUUUUAAUAGCC